RNAcentral lists this transfer RNA (71 nucleotides) under bacterium. Its description in RNAcentral is "tRNA-Met". It matches the Rfam family "tRNA". From Rfam's summary of the family: Transfer RNA (tRNA) molecules are approximately 80 nucleotides in length. Their secondary structure includes four short double-helical elements and three loops (D, anti-codon, and T loops). Further hydrogen bonds mediate the characteristic L-shaped molecular structure. tRNAs have two regions of fundamental functional importance: the anti-codon, which is responsible for specific mRNA codon recognition, and the 3' end, to which the tRNAs corresponding amino acid is attached (by aminoacyl-tRNA synthetases). tRNAs cope with the degeneracy of the genetic code in two manners: having more than one tRNA (with a specific anti-codon) for a particular amino acid; and 'wobble' base-pairing, i.e. permitting non-standard base-pairing at the 3rd anti-codon position. The record is from RNAcentral.
CGCGGGGAAGUGAAUCGGUAUCAUGAGAGGCCCAUAACCUUUAGAUCCGGGUUCAACUCCCGGCCCCGCAA